RNAcentral lists this ribosomal RNA (400 nucleotides) under uncultured bacterium. RNAcentral describes it as "bacterial SSU rRNA". It matches the Rfam family "Bacterial small subunit ribosomal RNA", at positions 361 to 776 of the family's 1533-position model. The record is from RNAcentral.
AUAUUGGACAAUGGGGGGAACCCUGAUCCAGCGACGCCGCGUGAGUGAAGAAGUAUCUCGGUAUGUAAAGCUCUAUCAGCAGGGAAGAAGAAAUGACGGUACCUGAGUAAGAAGCCCCGGCUAACUACGUGCCAGCAGCCGCGGUAAUACGUAGGGGGCAAGCGUUAUCCGGAAUUACUGGGUGUAAAGGGAGCGUAGACGGUGAUGUAAGUCUGGAGUGAAAACCCGGGGCUCAACCCCGGGAGUGCAUUUGAAACUGUCCAGCUGGAGUGCAGGAGAGGUAAGCGGAAUUCCUAGUGUAGCGGUGAAAUGCAUAGAUAUUAGGAGGAACACCAGUGGCGAAGGCGGCUUACUGGACUGUAACUGACACUGAGGCUCGAAAGCGUGGGGAGCAAACAGG